AGAGUAUUGUACCACAAUCCCAGUUGUUUGCAAUAAAUGGCUUGUCUUGAUUUUCCAGAUUAUAGCUAGAAGAUUGCCUCAAACGAUGAAUUGUAGAAUGGAGCAGGAUGUCUGUGUGUCUGCGUCUUCACCCGGGUUUUUCAGGCCACUGUGUCUGUGAACUUAGCUCUAUGAAAGCAAGAAGCCUAUGAGAAUUCCGCCAGGGGCAAGCCUGGCCUUGGCGCUUCACUGUCUUAGCGUGUGUCUGGCCCUCCCAUUCCUGGCCAAGGCCCACAGCCACCACAGAUGACCUGCUGAUGCCUCUGCUGAAAUCCGUGGCCACUGGCCAACAGCUUGACAAGAGUGUCAGCUCCCUCCCGAGACGAAAUCAGAGGAAAACGCCUCUAGUUUCUAAGAAGCACACAGGGAGCCACUUCUUUACCGCUAGCUCCUGCAGGAUCUGUGGGAUCCUGCAGGUGCUGGUUUGCCUCCUGAGCCCUGUCCUAAGGACACUCUGCACAUCGCCUCCUGGUGAGUGAGCUGGGGGACUUCUUCUGGAUACAUCUGAAUCACUUCAUUCGCACCUCAAGGCUCUCUGGGAGGAAAGCUGGUGCAGGAACUAGUGUCUUAGGAUUAUGAGGGAGGACGUGGAGGCAGAGGUGAGGACGGAGCUAAAGCCAAGCUGCAGGGAGCCUUUGGGCAGGAAGCGGAGCUUCGGGGUCCUAGGCAUGUCCUCUCACUCUCUCUCAUUGCCCCUAGCAAUGAAGAGGUGCGUGUCUCCGAGAUACGAGGUGCUCUUCUCUCUAGCAAUGUAAGAUCUGUUGAAAAGAUGAGACAUAUCUACAAAACCUGACCAUGAGUGGGUGACUGAGAAAGGCCUUGGGAGGUGCCGAGAAGGAGCAUUACAGAAGGAGGCUGUGUCCUGUGAUCAGGGAGAUUUUUUGAAAGCAAGGGGAUUAGAUCUGAGCACCAAAGAUGGGAGAGGAAUUUGAAAAGCUGGGAUGGAGGGAAGCACACAUUCUCGUUGCAAAGUUUGUAAGACAAGAUGCUGAGGAAGGUAAGCACACGCAGGCUCUGAAGAG
Molecule: long non-coding RNA, 1061 nt
Organism: Homo sapiens (human)
Lineage: Eukaryota; Metazoa; Chordata; Mammalia; Primates; Hominidae
Exons: 3
Source: RefSeq, a predicted model, not a curated record